This 427-nucleotide ribosomal RNA is filed under the name uncultured bacterium. RNAcentral describes it as "bacterial SSU rRNA". It matches the Rfam family "Bacterial small subunit ribosomal RNA", at positions 355 to 775 of the family's 1533-position model. The record is from RNAcentral.
UGGGGAAUUUUGCGCAAUGGGCGAAAGCCUGACGCAGCGACGCCGCGUGGGUGAUGAAGGCCUUCGGGUUGUAAAGCCCUGUGGGGAGGGAAAAAUAAGGGGCGGCUAAUACCCGCACCGAUGACGGUACCUCCUUAGCAAGCACCGGCUAACUCUGUGCCAGCAGCCGCGGUAAGACAGAGGGUGCAAACGUUGUUCGGAAUUACUGCGCGUAAAGCGCGUGUAGGCGGUCUAGCAAGUCGGAUGUGAAAGCCCUUGGCUCAACUGAGGAAGUGCAUUCGAAACUGCGAGACUUGAGUCCCGGAGAGGAUGGUGGAAUUCUCGGUGUAGAGGUGAAAUUCGUAGAUAUCGAGAGGAACACCGGUGGCAAAGGCGGCCAUCUGGACGGUGACUGACGCUGAGACGCGAAAGCAUGGGGAGCAAACAG